UACGAAGGGGGCUAGCGUUGCUCGGAAUCACUGGGCGUAAAGCGCACGUAGGCGGAUUGUUAAGUCAGGGGUGAAAUCCUGGAGCUCAACUCCAGAACUGCCUUUGAUACUGGCGAUCUCGAGUUCGGGAGAGGUGAGUGGAACUGCGAGUGUAGAGGUGAAAUUCGUAGAUAUUCGCAAGAACACCAGUGGCGAAGGCGGCUCACUGGCCCGAUACUGACGCUGAGGUGCGAAAGCGUGGGGAGCAAACAGG
RNAcentral lists this ribosomal RNA (253 nucleotides) under uncultured bacterium. RNAcentral describes it as "partial 16S ribosomal RNA". It matches the Rfam family "Bacterial small subunit ribosomal RNA", at positions 524 to 776 of the family's 1533-position model. The record is from RNAcentral.